CCUACGGGAGACUGCAGUGAGGAAUAUUGGUCAAUGGGCGAGAGCCUGAACCAGCCAAGUAGCGUGAAGGAUGACGGCCCUAUGGGUUGUAAACUUCUUUUGUAAAGGAAUAAAGUGAGGCACGUGUACCUUUUUGUAAGUACUUUAUGAAUAAGGAUCGGCUAACUCCGUGCCAGCAGCCGCGGUAAUACGGAGGAUCCGAGCGUUAUCCGGAUUUAUUGGGUUUAAAGGGAGCGUAGAUGGGUUGUUAAGUCAGUUGUGAAAGUUUGGGGCUCAACCGUCAAAUUGCAAUUGAAACUGGCAGUCUUGAGUGCAGUAGAGGUAGGCGGAAUUCGUGGUGUAGCGGUGAAAUGCUUAGAUAUCACGCAGAACUCCGAUUGCGAAGGCAGCUUACUAACCUGCAACUGACACUGAUGCUCGAAAGUGUGGGUAUCAAACAGGAUUAGAUACCCUAGUAGUC
This 460-nucleotide ribosomal RNA is filed under the name uncultured bacterium. RNAcentral describes it as "partial 16S ribosomal RNA". It matches the Rfam family "Bacterial small subunit ribosomal RNA", at positions 338 to 795 of the family's 1533-position model. The record is from RNAcentral.